Long non-coding RNA from Perca fluviatilis (European perch), 857 nucleotides. RefSeq lists it as uncharacterized. NCBI's taxonomy places the organism in Eukaryota, Metazoa, Chordata, Actinopteri, Perciformes, Percidae. The record is from RefSeq and is a predicted model, not a curated record. The transcript has 7 exons.
AUGAAAUGUCCCAAAAAAAAAAAGAAAAAAGGAACAGAGCCAGCCCCAACCAAAACCCUCCCAAUUCCUCCAGAAUACAACAACCGGAAGACAGUACAACAGUACAACACUAAAACAGUAGUGAACCAUGAGAGUGAUUCAGAGACUCCAGAUGAGCUCUACUCGCAAGACAUGUUUUUAGGCCCAAAACAAGGUGGGUAGGGAAGCCCAGAGUCUCCAGGGUCUCCAGGGUAUCUUGCGUCCUUCACUAACACCCUUGUGCAGAGCAAUUCACAUACUACGGCAGAGAGAAUGGUGCUUACUGAGCGCAAUACAACACAGGUGGCAAAUGACAACUUUCAGAUGAAAGUUUUAAUGAAAUUGGACCAAAUUAUUGAACAACAGCAACAAAUUCUAAAUUACCAAAAACAAAAUAUGCCACCUGUGAGUGAGUCAGAGGACAUCAUUGACCGUCCCUGCGAGACCCUGGAGGACCUGGAGACAUUGUGCCCACAACUGGGCUGAUGAUGGCAUACAACAGGGCGGUGGCAGCUAACAAUGAUCUCUUCAUAUCUUUCAGACUAUGUACCUGCGCUCACUUGGCGGAGCAAACCUGAAUGCAGCCGUCAGAAGAAUCCCCCGCCGGGUGGGCAAAAAUGACCUCUGUUCAAAUUUUAGUUUUAAAGGGAGGCAGACAGAGAGAACUGUGUGAAGCAAUGAUUGGAGCAUGCCAGAAAUUGCAUAAAGUGAAGGCAAAUGAGGUGGAAGAUGCCAUUGGCCAGAUGCUGAAAUUAGAGCCACACAGACAAUUAAAGUGGUAUGAGUCAUUAAUGAUUUCACCAUAACUGCUCUCUUAAAAUUAUUUUGAUUAAUCCCUA